AUUCAACUGAGUCGACUUACCUGUUAUAGGAUGCGGGUGGCAAAAGACCGGUGCUCUCAUUAACCUCAGAACUUUCUACAUUGUGGGAAUUCCAACUGUUGUUCUCUUGGCUCUCGUCUUCCAUUUUGGAGGAAAGGGUUUUCCGAAAUAUCUGCUGAUUUAUCGGAGGCAGCAGUAGCUCACUGCCAAUUAAUUGUCAUUUACAAGUAAGUUGCCCACAUCCAUAUUGUCACACAUUUCUUCUCUUCAUACAUGGUGCUGGAGGACCACACUAUCACUACAACAAAAGCAGGUAGAGCUGACGCUUUGGGGGGCUAGUUUUCCAGCGCUAACUAAAAUCAGGCGCCGGAUAACGAUCCCAUAUAAAUACCCCUCUAAAAAGCCCUAACCCUCAUUUUCUUAACCAUGUAAUGUCUAUAAAUCAAUCUAUACAGCUGUAUUCCUGAUCAUGUUAUGUUUUCUCAGGUUCUUCUAGUGGUUCUGCUGCUGUGGUCUCUGCAGGGCAGUCCUGUUGCUCUUGGUGUUGACGGAGGAGCUUUUGGAAGUCCUCAAGUGGAGAUAUGACCAAUCUAUAAUGUCGUGGAGUUUUGUGUGAAUCUAUUACUAAUGAGCAUGUAACUGUCUAUUUAUAGUUGCAUGGCUUCUCUAUAUAAUGUGCUUUUCCCACUUUGGAAUUUUGCGACUUCUAGAUGUUUUGGGUCUUAGAACUCCUUAUUUUCUGCUCUUUGUUUGGGCUUUUGCUCUCACACUUGCUCCUGCACAAUGCAAAUGUGCAUGCACGGGAAAAGGCAUAUGGAUGGGCACAUGUGCGAGCACGUCUGUGAUAUAAAUGUAAGCAUGCUUUCUUAGAAAUUUCAGUUCUCAUCUAUUCAAUCUGUAGAUCAUUCGCUCUUUUGAAACCCUAGGUUCCCUUUCACAUGGCAGUGCCUCUUGAAAUCCUCGGAGAUGUCUAUACUGACUUCUCUUCAA
Magnolia sinica is the source of this 969-nucleotide long non-coding RNA. RefSeq lists it as uncharacterized. The transcript has 4 exons. The record is from RefSeq and is a predicted model, not a curated record. Lineage: Eukaryota; Viridiplantae; Streptophyta; Magnoliopsida; Magnoliales; Magnoliaceae.